Molecule: ribosomal RNA, 222 nt
Filed under: uncultured bacterium
Lineage: Bacteria
Description: partial 16S ribosomal RNA
Rfam family: Bacterial small subunit ribosomal RNA
Source: RNAcentral
GACGAACGCUGGCGGCGUGCUUAACACAUGCAAGUCGAGCGGUAAGGCCCUUUCGGGGGUACGACGAGCGGCGAACGGGUGAGUAACACGUGGGUGACCUGCCCUUAGCUCUGGGAUAAGCCGUGGGAAACUGGGUCUAAAUACCGGAUAUGACUCCAUGACGCAUGUUGUGGGGUGGAAAAGCCUUGUGCGGCUAGGGAUGGGCCCGCGGCCUAUCAGCUU